UGUACCUACUACGUCCCUUCUCCAGGUC
Molecule: non-coding RNA, 28 nt
Filed under: Rattus norvegicus (Norway rat)
Lineage: Eukaryota; Metazoa; Chordata; Mammalia; Rodentia; Muridae
Source: RNAcentral